UUUUGUUUAAAGAGCAGGAAUUCCAUGGAAAUAAAAACAGUCUAGUCUGUUAAGUUCCUCUCAUGGACAUUUAUGAGGGCAAUUAUUAAUACUGUUGAAAAUUAUACUCAUGAAACCUGUUAAUGGGGGCUGUGCUGGCUGCUGCCAGAACAACUGCGCCCUUUACAACUCAUUUGGAGACAGAAAUAUUCGACAAAGUAGCUUACAGGGUGCAAAGGUUUGCGUGGUGCAGGCUUAGACUAACUUAACAUAUGCCCUCUGUAGCCUUGGUAUUGUCCAAAGCCUAAUGCCCGUAAUAAAAGAGAGAAAAAUUGGAACCCGAGUGGCAAGAAUGGUAAGCCCUGGGAAUUCUCCUAAUCAGAGAUAUUCAGCUAUUUUUAGUUUAUAAUGUUUGGUCAAAUAGCAACAAUGAUUUUUCUUCUUUUUUGCAACUCAGCUGCACGGUAUGUUGGAGGGGGUCUAGAUGGCCUGUGACCUUGCCUUUAUCUGUCGGUCUGUCACCACCGGUCUUCAAAGCACAGCUUAAAGGAUCUGAGGCUUCUGUGUGGCCUUGAUGUGAUCUGCUUUCCUGCAGGGAGGCCAAGACAGCUGAAAUCCAGCUCUGCUGCAAGGAGCAGACACAGCCACCAUGUUACUAACUAUGGGCUGCCUCCAUGGUGCUGCUGACCCACAGGAGCCACGAGGAGAAGCCUGGAGGGAGCAGGGGCAGUGAUCUGCACCUCAGGAAAAGCAAGCAAUCACAGGACUUCUCAGCACACCCCCCACCCUCUCCCUGUCCCUCCACCUCCUGAACUAUUUGAUCCAUGUAAGAAUCCAGCUGUGAGUGAAUGCAGGCAGGUGUAAAGCCCGGUCCUAAUCCCCUGGCUGUGUACCCGGGUUCCUGUGGUAUACUUUGAACAUGUGCUUCAGAUCAUCGUUUCAGUAGGUAAGACCUGCUUCUCAUCUGUGCGAACCAGUGUCUUAUACGUGCUUUGUGGGUUUUCCUAAAGCAGCCUAAAAUCUCUUAAUCCUCCCUUUCUGCCUUAUAUCUCUUGCUGAUUGCAAUUCUGAGCCCUGGGGCCCAAUGAUGGCUCCUUUCUGUCAUAAGAGAAGGGUUUGGGUUUUUGCUUUUUGUGUGUUUGGUGGAUUUUUUUUGGCUUUGAGGGUGAAUGCAGCUGCUGCCAGCUGGAAAAGGG
Molecule: long non-coding RNA, 1175 nt
Filed under: Coturnix japonica (Japanese quail)
Lineage: Eukaryota; Metazoa; Chordata; Aves; Galliformes; Phasianidae
Description: lncRNA (ENSCJPG00005013468.1)
Source: RNAcentral